AGUUCUAAAUCUUACGUCAGUGGUCAAAAAGAUAGCUCAAACAGUAGAACGGGCAAAGCAACUCAUACGAGAAUAUUAAGAUGUCUUUCCAACUAACCUACCUAGUGGCAUACCUCCUGAUCAAAGAGCCCCCUUUCAAAUAGAACUAUUGCUUAGAGCCAAACUAGCAAGUCAAUCAAAUUAUUGUCUAGGACCAAAAGGACUUGAAGAGUUGUAGAAGACAUUGGACGAACUUUUAGAGAAAGGCCUCAUUUGAGAAGGCACAUC
This 267-nucleotide long non-coding RNA is filed under the name Physcomitrium patens. Its description in RNAcentral is "long non-coding RNA (PPAT_LNC011913)". Lineage: Eukaryota; Viridiplantae; Streptophyta; Bryopsida; Funariales; Funariaceae. The record is from RNAcentral.